CCUUGACAUACUAAGAACUUUCCAGAGAUGGAUUGGUGCCUUCGGGAACUUAGAUACAGGUGCUGCAUGGCUGUCGUCAGCUCGUGUCGUGAGAUGUUGGGUUAAGUCCCGCAACGAGCGCAACCCUUUUUCCUUAUUUUGCCAGCGGGUCAUGCCGGGAACUUUAAGGAUACUGCCAGUGACAAACUGGAGGAAGGCGGGGACGACGUCAAGUCAUCAUGGCCCUUACGGCCAGGGCUACACACGUGCUACAAUGGUCGGUACAAAGGGUUGCUACCUCGCGAGAGGAUGCUAAUCUCAAAAAAGCCGAUCGUAGUCCGGAUCGCAGUCUGCAACUCGACUGCGUGAAGUCGGAAUCGCUAGUAAUCGCGGAUCAGAAUGCCGCGGUGAAUACGUUCCCGGGCCUUGUACACACCGCCCGUCACACCAUGGGAGUUUGUUGCACCAGAAGUAGGUAGUCUAACCGCAAGGAGGACGCUUACCACGGUGUGGCCGAUGACUGGGGUGAAGUCGUAACAAGGUAGGCGUAGAUGA
Molecule: ribosomal RNA, 534 nt
Filed under: uncultured bacterium
Lineage: Bacteria
Description: bacterial SSU rRNA
Rfam family: Bacterial small subunit ribosomal RNA
Source: RNAcentral